Molecule: small nuclear RNA, 102 nt
Organism: Acomys russatus (golden spiny mouse)
Lineage: Eukaryota; Metazoa; Chordata; Mammalia; Rodentia; Muridae
Source: RefSeq, a predicted model, not a curated record
GUGCUGGUCUUGGCAGAAUAUAUAUUAAAAUUGGAGCAAUGCUGAGAAAAUUAGCAAGGGCCCCGUGGUGACAUGGAAAUCUGUGAAGCAUUCUGUAUUUUU